This is a long non-coding RNA of Hibiscus syriacus, 524 nucleotides long. RefSeq lists it as uncharacterized. NCBI's taxonomy places the organism in Eukaryota, Viridiplantae, Streptophyta, Magnoliopsida, Malvales, Malvaceae. The record is from RefSeq and is a predicted model, not a curated record. The transcript is spliced from 3 exons.
CUCAUCUAAUGAUUUUCUCUCUUCACAUUUGGUCUCUCGAUCGAGACCCUUCACAAAACAGAACCACCAGGCACCGCUGUAAAUCCCAAUCGCUAGCUUUCUUUGAUCAUUGGACUCCGGUGACCGGGUUUCUUCCUAUCAUUUCUUACAACCCAAGCAAGUUCCAGAACCACAACUCUCAUCUAAACCUCCUCUCCUUCUACCAUCCCAAAUCCAACCGGGAUUAAACCUUACCUAAAAUUAACAUAAAACCCCAAUGUCCGACCAAAACCGACCCCUCGCUCACAACUCCGAUGAAAGUAACCUUAUGAAGAACGAAAACGACGCCUAAGUUGAGAUGGUUUUGUCAAACUCAAAUGGAGAUUAUGAGAUUUGCUUUGUUAGCUGUCGGAAUUCUUGUGCCCUCACUUCGAUUUUCAGCUUCAAAUGAUACCACAAACUCAUCAUCAACCGACUCGCAGUCGACACAAGAUUUGGAUUGAAAUUCUAGCAAAAAGUUAUUCCACAAGUCAUAUUAUUUUUAU